This 713-nucleotide unclassified non-coding RNA is filed under the name Bombus terrestris (buff-tailed bumblebee). RNAcentral describes it as "misc RNA ENSBTSG00005037574.1". The record is from RNAcentral. Lineage: Eukaryota; Metazoa; Arthropoda; Insecta; Hymenoptera; Apidae.
CAGAAAUAGGCGCACGACUAUUAUACGUUGUAUACGCUAUAUCGAUUAUUAUCGAUAUAUAAUUUCUUCUAAUCGAUUUAUGCCGCCAUGAAAUGGCAGUUUUACGCGGGAACUGCAGCAAGAAGAAGCAUUAUGGAAGUCAUUAGAUCUUAGAGAGAUAAAGAAAUUCAACCUAAUCACGGAAAUUGGUACAAUUAGAAGCAGAUGAGGUACUAUGGAUAACGACGAAGAACAGGAUUUUUGAUCCUUGCGAUUUCGGAAACGAAGUUUUUCACAACCUCCACUUUCACCAUGGGGUUCAAUGGGGUUCAGAAUAACUUCUUCUGAGCCACAGCAACACUGAUAGUAUCAUAACCUGCAGUUAAUCGUGAGUCAAAUACAGUUUUAUUCCUCCGUUCAUCCAAUCAUGUCGUAGGACGAAAGGUCCGAAUCGACACGGAUAAGUAGUUGUAUUACGUAGAAUUUUUGGCGAGUGUGUGACCACGAGUAUUAAUUACACAUACUCGUGAGUAGUAAUAUCUUAUUUACUUUAUGUAUUAGUUCAGGAUAGGGUCUUCUUGCACACAUGUAUCGCGAUUUUUGAUGAUAAAAAUUUUAUAUCGAUAGUAUUAAUAUAAUCAGAGUAAAAUCAGAAUUUAUUCAAUACCGAUAUUUGCAAAAGUUUGUUAUAAAAGUAAAUAUUAAAAUUGUGUGAAUUACAGAAUCUUGCUGCA